This 26-nucleotide transfer RNA is filed under the name Leoheo domatiophorus. RNAcentral's name for it is "partial tRNA-Leu". Lineage: Eukaryota; Viridiplantae; Streptophyta; Magnoliopsida; Magnoliales; Annonaceae. The record is from RNAcentral.
UAAGAGGAAAAUCCCUCUAUCCCCAA